CAGGUUUUUUGCGAAAAUCAGUGAACUAAUAUUGGUAAAAUUGGAGCCCCAUGGAUGAAGGGUACUUUUCGGCCCCUGAGCUGCCCUCGCUGCUGCUUUGGUAAAGGCUUACAACGAAAGAGAGUCACAGCCACUGGCGAAUCCAGUUUGUGCAAGCAGCAUCAGCAAUGGAUGAGACCUCCCCCAGGCUGGAAGAAGACUGGAAAAAAGGACUUCAGCGAGAAGCGAGCUGGCAGGAGAACUCAAACAUAAAUGAACUUUAAAGGUUGAAACUUUCCACCUGCCUAGUUUCCAGUGAGGAGGCUGCUCAGGAACUGAGAAUUGUUCAGAGAGAAAAUGAGAGACUUGAGAGGAGGCAGAAGCAUAGAGUCUGGCAUGGGAAGGGACUUUAGGGUCAUUUAGCCCCACUUGCUGCUGUCAGUGACCCUUGGGAAAUGUGUGUAAAAUCAGUAUGCAUGUCUAAAAUUCAAUAGUAUAUCUAGCCUCAUCAAUCAAGAUAUGAAUUGGA
Molecule: long non-coding RNA, 508 nt
Organism: Equus quagga
Lineage: Eukaryota; Metazoa; Chordata; Mammalia; Perissodactyla; Equidae
Exons: 3
Source: RefSeq, a predicted model, not a curated record